CCGAAAGGUUGUGGAUAGUGUAGUAACGUUGAUUCAGAUGGAGUAACGUUAAAUCAGUAUUUCUUCUGAACAAGUACAAAACUCCAUUUGGGAGAUGGUGACAAUGUGGGGCGCACAGUUGUUUUAAAAGUGAACAUCCUGACAACACAACUGCCCAGUCCCACCAAUCAUGUCCGUGUCCUCAUCCAAAUCACCACUGUGGGGAACAGCUGCACAUAGAUCGACUUCUAUUGACGUCUGCUAUUAUCCAGGGCUGGUGGCGCACAGCGGAGGUUUGUCAGAUCUUGUUGCUAAAAAAGUUGUAACACCUUUUGGCACAACUGCAUCAUGGGAAGCCAGGCUGCUUUGGCUGCUGGUCAUUCCUGUUCACACUGUAGACCAUCAUCACCUCUGAUACUGAAGAAGUCUGGCAGUGGAGGGUGAAUAUUGCAAAAAUGUUGAUGUCUUUCAUAUCUGUUCGGAGCGCAUUAUCUGUGCAUGUCUGAAUAAAUGUACUUGAAUGUAUGGUG
Molecule: long non-coding RNA, 509 nt
Organism: Dicentrarchus labrax (European seabass)
Lineage: Eukaryota; Metazoa; Chordata; Actinopteri; Moronidae
Exons: 3
Source: RefSeq, a predicted model, not a curated record